This 476-nucleotide long non-coding RNA is filed under the name Equus caballus (horse). RNAcentral describes it as "lncRNA (ENSECAG00000055026.1)". Lineage: Eukaryota; Metazoa; Chordata; Mammalia; Perissodactyla; Equidae. The record is from RNAcentral.
AUCAAGGCAAGCAGACAUAGAAGAAGGUGUAGAUGUCAGUGACCUGCCUGCCUUGAUGGAUUCAGACGAUGAUGUUAAUAGAUGACCUUCUUCCUCUCUCUCCUGCUGUCUGUAUCUCCCACCACCCCAACUUUCCAUGACUCAGUCUCACACACCGUCACCACUGCCACCAUCUCUCAGCCUUCCAGUGUGCCCUCUAUCUUCUCGAUUCUGAUCUAGAGACAGAAUCCAUGUGAAUGGAAAUGAUAAGUGCUACCUCCACAUCAGGCCCUUGGAAGCCUCCAUGUGCCUGUCACCAGCUUUUCCAUUUCCAGAUGACUGGGAUGGAUUCUGCCCUCAGAGAAACCUUCAAAGGAGUGAUGUCAGCAACAUGCUGGAAUGAGCCAUUCCCUUUGUCUCUCUGCCUUCAAAAUACAAUUAAAUGGACAUUCAUUGAUCAGUGGAGGAUACCCACACAACACAACAGGAUGCCUGAG